This 3762-nucleotide unclassified non-coding RNA is filed under the name Stylophora pistillata. Its description in RNAcentral is "beta-mannosidase-like, transcript variant X3". Lineage: Eukaryota; Metazoa; Cnidaria; Anthozoa; Scleractinia; Pocilloporidae. The record is from RNAcentral.
UGAAGCAAUCAAAAUGGCGAUCAUAGUCAAAGGAAAAGUGAUCGUAUUUAGAAUAACAAUAAUGCUCUAUAAUGUCAUCCUGAUACAUUGUGGCAUUGUAGAAGUCAAUCUCGGAGGCACCUGGAUUGUUUCGAAUGCAAAUAACAGUAUUUCUGUGCCCGGAAUUGUUCCCGGAAAUGUUCACACAGCUUUGUACAGGAAUGGACAAAUUUCGGAUCCGUACUUCCGGUUUAAUGAUGUUAAGUAUCGCUGGAUAGCGUAUGAUAAUUGGACGUACACAAGGUCGUUGGAAGUUUCUGAAGAUGUCACAUCAAAAGGGAACAUUCUGUUGGUUUUCGAGGGCCUGGACACAGUUGCUGCAGUUCUGGUUAAUAAUAUUGAAGUUGGCCACUCAACAAACAUGUUCCACAGAUACAUCUUCAAUAUUAAGGAGGCUCUAAAAACUGGUUUGAACAAGAUUGAAGUGCGCUUCACUUCUGCAGUGCUCUAUGCUAAAGGGCAAGCCAAAGUGUAUCCAUAUCGUGUACCCCCUGAAUGUCCAGUCCCAGUUCAGCGUGGUGAGUGCCAUGGAAACUUUAUCAGAAAAGAACAGUGUUCAUUUAGUUGGGACUGGGGACCAGCCUUUGUUCCUCAAGGGAUUUGGAGAAAUGUAUCUCUGCAAGCUUACAACUCAGCUGUUAUAAGGGACAUCACAGUAACACCUAAAAAAGGUUCAACUAAUAUCACGUGGGAGUUGUCCAUGACACUUUUUAUGGAUUCUGCUGAGGAUGGUGUGACAGGUACAAUAAUCUUCAGCCUUCCUCAGCUGUCACGCUCUCAGAAGCUGGUCAUCAAACUGUCACAUGGUAUCCAUAAAAUUUCUUUCCCAGAGAUGCUGUUUACAGAAAAAGAUGACAUUAAGCCUUGGUGGCCUCAAGGAUAUGGCAAACCAAAUCUCUACACAGUUAAGGUUGUGUUUUUGAGCUCCUCUGGUGAUGAACAAUCAAGUAUUAGUCGUAACAUUGGUUUCAGGAAAGUGAAACUUGUACAGGAACCAAUUGCUUGUGCUCCAGGACGGGGAUUUCACUUUGAGAUCAAUGAUUUACCAAUAUUUCUUAAAGGAGCAAACUGGAUUCCUGCAGAUGCCUUUGAGGACCGUGUGACGAGCUCAGUUCUUUGGAAUCUUCUCAAGUCUGCAGCUGAUGCGAACAUGAACGUCGUGAGGAACUGGGGAGGAGGAGUCUAUCAAAAAGAUGAAUUUUACGACAUAGCGGACGAAUUAGGAUUACUUAUAUGGGAAGAAUUUAUGUUUGCCUGUGCUAUGUACCCGGUUGAUAAAGAUUUCUUGAAGUCAGUCAAAGAAGAAGUACAAUAUCAGGUGCGUCGGCUUCAGCACCAUCCGUCCGUUAUACUAUGGAGUGGUAACAAUGAAAAUGAAGCAGCUCUGGCCGACAACUGGUACAACACCAGCUCCUCGUUCACGAGGUACUCCAAUGAUUAUAGGAAGUUGUAUAUAGAUACUAUUAUGGAGACGCUGGAAAACGAAGACAAGAGCCGACCUUUUCUCUCAUCGUCUCCUUCGAAUGGAGUAGAUACCGAGAAGGAGGGAUGGGUGGCGAAGAAUCCAGGGAGCCCCUAUUGGGGAGAUGUGCACUUCUACGACUACGAGAUGGACUGUUGGAAUGUCAGCGGCUACCCUAAGCCCCGUUUUGCAUCUGAGUAUGGUUUCCAGUCCUACCCGUCUUUUGAGACUCUAGCGCAGGUGUCAGUGGAAGAGGACUGGGCCUACAAUAGUUCGUUCAUGGAUCAUAGGCAACAUCAUGCAGACGGUAAUGAGCAGAUGUUGAGCCAAGCUAAGAAGCAUUAUAAACUUCCCAACUCAACAGAGCCUUUGAAAAGAUUUUUGGACACUCUUUUUAUUAUCCAGGUGGCUCAAGCUCAGUGCAUGAAGACAGAGACUGAACAUUACAGACGUUUACAGAGUGAAUUAGUGAAGGGUGAAGGAAGAACAAUGGGCACAAUAUAUUGGCAGUUGAACAGUAUUUGGCAGGCUCCCACUUGGUCAUCUCUGGAAUAUGGAGGUCGUUGGAAGAUGCUUCAUUACUUUGUGAAAGAUUUCUUUGCGCCAGUUAUGGCGUCGCCAUACCAGGAGGGUGGCAAGUUCAGGCUCUAUGUAGUAUCCGACCUUAUGAAGCCAAUCUCGCAAGGUGCUGUGUCUCUGAAGGCGUGGUCAUGGUCUUCCUUCACACCACUGUACGUCAAAGAGGUCGCAUUUAACAUUGAUCAACAAACUUCGAAAUUGGUUUAUGAAGAUAAAGUGGAUACUCUCUUACACUCCAGCAAAUGUAAAAGUGCUCGACAUUGCGUCUUUACUGUGAAACCUAUGGACGCAAGCACAGGCGAAGAUCUGGGACCGACAAACGUCUUUUAUCCGACGAGUCUGUCGGAAGCACUGGGUAUGAGCGAUCCAAGAUUGAAGAUCGUAAAAGUUGCGCGAACGCCCAAAAAAGGAGAGUAUAGUGUGUAUAUUGAGGCCCAGUCUCCCGCUUGUUAUGUGUGGCUUGUAGCCGAAGAUGUCCGUGGACGCUUCUCAAAUAACGGUUUUCUUCUGAUCGAACCUUCCAAGACGGUGAUAUUCUACAGUUGGCAAGACACCACUGAAGACGAACUAGAGAAAAGUCUUUACAUCACGUCUCUUUAUGAUUUAUAUGCUUAGAUAAUUUAGUUAUAUAAUUUUGCCAUCCCUGACAUAGAUGUUAUUAAUUAGAUCUAGAAAGUCGGUGAGUUUUCAACUCGUCGUCCUUUGUGAAAACUCAAUUUUGUAAUUUUUCAUUCAAGUAAACAGCUGUCCAUACAACCAGGUAUCGAUAGUUAAAGAAAACAACAGGAUGAAAAUGGAAUUGAACAAAACUUGUAAAAAAAAAGGCGAACACUUGAACUUGCAUCUGCUACAUACUUAAAAAAAAGUCGUCGGAUGUUACGAUAAUUCGUCGUGCGAUUUGCAGAGACUGUGAUACUUUCUUUCCCCUUGAGCGGGAACUUGAAUAGUAAUUGCUUGGCAGUCACUAGUUAUUCUUAAAGUUUAAGCUGUUAGUUCAUCCCAUUUUUCGUGCGGCGUUCGUGCGAGAAAAACCACUCGGAGAACUCGGGCGAAGAGGCACUUUUGGAGCGAAAUCUUUGUGAAACGCGUUGGGGGUUAACGGAAGAUCGACGGCCACGCGGUUUGUGCCUGUUAAGACAGAUCGUUAUUUUUUUAUUUUUUUUAUUUUUAAUUUAAAGGUGCAUUUUAUCGGCUCAAACAACACUUAGCUAAAUGAAUGUAACCAAUUUAAACUCAACCCGCAGAAUUGGAUAACACCAUUGAAUAAAAUUGUACGAAGUGCAUCUAUGUUGCUUAGCAAUCCCUGAAAUAUGGAUUGAAAUUUGAUGUGUUUUGAUUGAAAUUUGUAGAAAAUCGCUAAUGUUACGUGUAGCAGAUAUUUCAUAUGAUUCUCCUUUGUUUCUGAGAAUUUUAGGACUCUGCAAAAGAUUCUAAUAUAAGCAUUAGCAGUACAAGUAUUUUGAACGCACUGAUCGUUUCAAAACAGACUUUCAGUUGUCGAUUUCGUACGUGAAAAAAAAUAUCUAUUAAAUAUUAUACCAUCUCUUUCAGGGAAUGUGUUUGCCAAAUGAACAAAUAUUUCUGACAUCGCUUUCAUUGUUAGUUAAUUAGCAUUUUUUAAUGAAAAGACUUUUAUAUUGUGAGGUUUAUGAUUGCCAAUAAAUGUUUUAGCACUAACAGGA